CCUACGGGAGGCAGCAGUGAGGAAUAUUGGUCAAUGGGCGGGAGCCUGAACCAGCCAAGUAGCGUGCGGGAUGAAGGCCCUACGGGUCGUAAACCGCUUUUGCACGGGGAUAACACCCUCCACUUGUGGAGGUCUGCAGGUACCGUGCGAAUAAGGGCCGGCUAAUUCCGUGCCAGCAGCCGCGGUAAUACGGAAGGCCCGAGCGUUAUCCGGAUUUAUUGGGCUUAAAGGGAGCGUAGGCGGUCGUUCAAGUCAGCGGUAAAAUCGCGCGGCUCAACCGUCCCGCGCAGUUGAAACUGGACGACUUGAGUUCACGACAGGCAGGCGGAAUUCGUGGUGUAGCGGUGAAAUGCAUAGAUAUCACGCAGAACUCCGAUCGCGAAGGCAGCGUACCGGCGCCCAACUGACGCUGAAGCACGAAGGCGUGGGUAUCGAACAGGAUUAGAUACCCUUGUAGUC
Molecule: ribosomal RNA, 459 nt
Filed under: uncultured bacterium
Lineage: Bacteria
Description: partial 16S ribosomal RNA
Rfam family: Bacterial small subunit ribosomal RNA
Source: RNAcentral